UACGGGGGGUGCAAGCGUUGUCCGGAAUCAUUGGGCGUAAAGCGUUCGUAGGCGGUAUAUCAAGUCUGGUGUUAAAGCCCGAGGCUCAACUUCGGAUCGGCACUGGAUACUGGUAAACUAGAAUGUGGUAGAGGUAAGGGGAAUUCCUGGUGUAGCGGUGAAAUGCGUAGAUAUCAGGAGGAACAUCGGUGGCGAAAGCGCCUUACUGGGCCAUUAUUGACGCUGAGGAACGAAAGCCAGGGGAGCAAAUGGG
This 253-nucleotide ribosomal RNA is filed under the name uncultured bacterium. RNAcentral describes it as "partial 16S ribosomal RNA". It matches the Rfam family "Bacterial small subunit ribosomal RNA", at positions 524 to 776 of the family's 1533-position model. The record is from RNAcentral.